RNAcentral lists this ribosomal RNA (591 nucleotides) under Triticum aestivum (bread wheat). RNAcentral's name for it is "partial small subunit ribosomal RNA". The record is from RNAcentral. Lineage: Eukaryota; Viridiplantae; Streptophyta; Magnoliopsida; Poales; Poaceae.
AUGGCGGCUGGCGUCAAGUUCGAUCCCAUAGAUCAGGAGCUGAUCGAGCACCUUCAGGCCAAAGUGAGUGCUGACAGCGUGAGAUCUCACCCUCUCAUCGAUUUGUUCAUACCAACCAUCGACAGCGAGCACGGCAUAUGCUACACCCAUCCCGAGAAACUUCCAGGUAUCACAUUGAGUGGCCUAAGCAAGCAUUUCUUCCAGCGCAAUUCCAGGGCGUUCAAAAGGGGCACAUGGACGUGUCGCAAGAUACAGUCAGAGUGCGGCAUGCAUGCAAUGUGGCACAAGACCGGCAAUACCUUGCCGGUGAUGGUCAACGGCCGGCAGACGGGCAGCAAAAAGGUUAUGGUGCUGCACAGCAACAAGAACUUCGACCAGCAGAGGACCAACUGGGUGAUGCACCAGUACCACCUCGGGGACCUGGAUCAAGAGAAGGAGCGGGAGCUAGUCCUCUGCAAGAUUUUCUACCAAACAAACACUAGGGCCAGGACUAAAAAGAAUAUAAGUCGAGCAAGUUUCAACUGGGCUGUAGACUGCCUAGGCUUGGUUUUGUUCUUAAUAGGCCCAGCCCAUGAAGACAACGGGGCAUAA